GUCGAGCCUAAGAGAUAGGAGAAAUCCGUUUCAAAGCGACAGUUCUUCGGUACUGUCCGCCUAUCGAAAGGGAAUCUGGUUAAUAUUCCAGAACCAGGACGUGGAUAUUGAGUGGUAACACAAGCAAAACCGGGAACGAUGGCGGGAGCCCUGAGGAGAGUUCUCUCUUCUUCUUAACAAGCACACUAACCCUGGAAUCGGAUUGACCGGAGAUAGGGUU
Molecule: ribosomal RNA, 220 nt
Filed under: Proboscia inermis
Lineage: Eukaryota; Bacillariophyta; Melosirophyceae; Probosciales; Probosciaceae
Description: partial Eukaryotic large subunit ribosomal RNA
Rfam family: Eukaryotic large subunit ribosomal RNA
Source: RNAcentral